RNAcentral lists this ribosomal RNA (687 nucleotides) under Bacillus chungangensis. Its description in RNAcentral is "partial 23S ribosomal RNA". It matches the Rfam family "Bacterial large subunit ribosomal RNA", at positions 1 to 683 of the family's 2925-position model. Lineage: Bacteria; Bacillati; Bacillota; Bacilli; Caryophanales; Bacillaceae. The record is from RNAcentral.
GGUUAAGUUAGAAAGAGCGCAUGGCGGAUGCCUAGGCACUAGGAGCCGAUGAAGGACGGGACUAACACCGAUAUGCUUCGGGGAGCUGUAAGCAAGCAUUGAUCCGGAGAUUUCCGAAUGGGGAAACCCACUGUUCUUAAUCGAACAGUAUCCAUUCUCUGAAUCCAUAGGAGAUGGAAGGCAGACCUGGGGAAUUGAAACAUCUUAGUACCCAGAGGAAGAGAAAGAAACAUCGAUUCCCUAAGUAGCGGCGAGCGAACCGGGAAGAGCCCAAACCAAGAGGCUUGCCUCUUGGGGUUGUAGGACACUUUAUAUAGAGUAAGAAAGGAAUGGAGUAGACGAAGCGGUCUGGAAAGGCCUGUCAUAGAAGGUAACAACCCUGUAGUCGAAACUUCGUUCCCUCUAAAGUGUAUCCUGAGUACGGCGGGACACGUGAAAUCCCGUCGGAAUCCGGGAGGACCAUCUCCCAAGGCUAAAUACUCCCUAGUGACCGAUAGUGAACCAGUACCGUGAGGGAAAGGUGAAAAGCACCCCGGGAGGGGAGUGAAAGAGAUCCUGAAACCGUGCGCUUACAAGUAGUCAGAGCACAUUAAUGUGUGAUGGCGUGCCUUUUGUAGAAUGAACCGGCGAGUUGCGAUUUUAUGCAAGGUUAAGUCAAAAAAGACGGAGCCGCAGCGAAAGCGAGUC